AAUAUUUGACACUGGGGGCAACCCCGAUCCAGCCAAGCCGCGCGUGUGAAGAAGGUCUUCGGAUUGUAUAGCACUCUAAGAUGGGUGGCAGGGCUUUAGGCUAAUACCCUGAAGGUUUGACGUUACAAACAGAUUCAGCCCCGGCUAACUCUGUGCCAGCAGCCGCGGUAAUACAGAGGGAGCAAGCGUUAAACGGAAUUACUGGGCGUAAAGCGCGCGUAGGUGGUUCAAUAAGACUGGUGUGAAAGUCCCGGGCUUAAGCUGGGAACUGCUUUGGUAACUGCUGAGCUUGAGUACGGUAGAGGGAAGUGGAAUUUCCAGUGUAGCGGUGAAAUGCGUAGAGAUAGGGAGGAACACCAGUGGCGAAGGCGACUUCCUGGACUGUUACUGACACUGAGGUGCGAAAGCGUGGGGAGCGAACA
Molecule: ribosomal RNA, 422 nt
Filed under: uncultured bacterium
Lineage: Bacteria
Description: partial 16S ribosomal RNA
Rfam family: Bacterial small subunit ribosomal RNA
Source: RNAcentral